GGAACGCUGGGCGGCAGGACCUAACACAUGCAAGUCGAGCGGAUGACGGGAGCUUGCUCCUUGAUUCAGCGGCGGACGGGUGAGUAAUGCCUAGGAAUCUGCCUGGUAGUGGGGGACAACGUUUCGAAAGGAACGCUAAUACCGCAUACGUCCUACGGGAGAAAGCAGGGGACCUUCGGGCCUUGCGCUAUCAGAUGAGCCUAGGUCGGAUUAGCUAGUUGGUGGGGUAAUGGCUCACCAAGGCGACGAUCCGUAACUGGUCUGAGAGGAUGAUCAGUCACACUGGAACUGAGACACGGUCCAAACUCCUACGGGAGGCAGCAGUGGGGAAUAUUGGACAAUGGGCGAAAGCCUGAUCCAGCCAUGCCGCGUGUGUGAAGAAGGUCUUCGGAUUGUAAAGCACUUUAAGUUGGGAGGAAGGGCAGUAAGCUAAUACCUUGCUGCUUUGACGUUACCGACAGAAUAAGCACCGGCUAACUCUGUGCCAGCAGCCCGCGGUAAUACAGAGGGUGCAAGCGUUAAUCGGAAUUACUGGGCGUAAAGCGCGCGUAGGUGGUUCGUUAAGUUGGAUGUGAAAUCCCCGGGCUCAACCUGGGAACUGCAUCCAAAACUUGCGAGCUAGAGUACGGUAGAUCGGGUGGUUGGAAUUUCCUGUGUAGCGGUGAAAUGCGUAGAUAUAGGAAGGAACACCAGUGGCGAAGGCGACCACCUGGACUGAUACUGACACUGAGGUGCGAAAGCGUGGGGAGCAAACAGGAUUAGAUA
Molecule: ribosomal RNA, 765 nt
Filed under: Pseudomonas monteilii
Lineage: Bacteria; Pseudomonadati; Pseudomonadota; Gammaproteobacteria; Pseudomonadales; Pseudomonadaceae
Description: bacterial SSU rRNA
Rfam family: Bacterial small subunit ribosomal RNA
Source: RNAcentral